This 501-nucleotide ribosomal RNA is filed under the name uncultured bacterium. RNAcentral describes it as "partial 16S ribosomal RNA". It matches the Rfam family "Bacterial small subunit ribosomal RNA", at positions 30 to 523 of the family's 1533-position model. The record is from RNAcentral.
AUUGAACGCUGGCGGCAUGCCUUACACAUGCAAGUCGAACGGCAGCACGGGUGCUUGCACCUGGUGGCGAGUGGCGAACGGGUGAGUAAUACAUCGGAACGUACCUUAUCGUGGGGGAUAACGCAGCGAAAGCUGUGCUAAUACCGCAUACGCCCUGAGGGGGAAAGCGGGGGAUCGCAAGACCUCGCGCGAUUAGGGCGGCCGAUGCCUGAUUAGCUUGUUGGUGGGGUAAAAGCCCACCAAGGCGACGAUCAGUAGCUGGUCUGAGAGGACGAUCAGCCACACUGGGACCGAGACACGGCCCAGACUCCUACGGGAGGCAGCAGUGGGGGAUUUUGGACAAUGGGGGCAACCCUGAUCCAGCAAUGCCGUGUGAGUGAAGAAGGCCUUCGGGUUGUAAAGCUCUUUUGUCAGGGAAGAAACAGCAGCUCUAACACAGUCUGCGAAUGACGGUACCUGAAGAAUAAGCACCGGCUAACUACGUGCCAGCAGCCGCCGUAA